GGAGACAGCCCCGUGGGGCCAGCCAGCGCUGGGCCAGGAGCGGCCACCUGGUUCCUGCGUGCUACGGCCCUGUGGGCCUGGGAGCUGCCUCUGAGGAACACGCCGCAGGGCCAGGCAUGUGAGGUCUCUGCGGGUCAUGGAGAACCUCCCUGCCGUGACCACUGAGGAGCCGGCCCCCAUGGGGAGGGGUCCUGUGGGACCCUCAGGAGGUGGCAGCAGCCGGGACCAGGUCCGGACUGUGGCCAUGAGGCCCUCUGUGAGCUGGGAGAAAGCGGGGCCCAAGGAGGCCAAGGCACCGGUGAGAGGCGGUGAGUUCAUUCCACCCUCACCACCCGCCCUCCAUCCCACCCACUUCUCCACCCCACCUGCCCCGUCCAUCCAUCCCUCACCACCCUGCCUGCCUCCGGGCCUCUUGGGGCUGGGGCUGGGGUCUGCUCUCCAUCACUUCUCGUUUCCUUCCCCCGCGUGUGUUUAACAGGAGCCACUGUGCCCGCUGAGUCACUUGAGAGGCCAGGGCCCAGCUCGUGUUUUUCCAGGGACGCGUCAGUGAUAAC
Molecule: small RNA, 554 nt
Filed under: Pan troglodytes (chimpanzee)
Lineage: Eukaryota; Metazoa; Chordata; Mammalia; Primates; Hominidae
Description: retained intron
Source: RNAcentral